Marmota monax (woodchuck) is the source of this 8449-nucleotide long non-coding RNA. RefSeq lists it as uncharacterized. The record is from RefSeq and is a predicted model, not a curated record. The transcript has 3 exons. Lineage: Eukaryota; Metazoa; Chordata; Mammalia; Rodentia; Sciuridae.
UGGAUACUCAGCAUGACUUUUUAUACUUUUUCUAGAUUUGGUGGCUGCAUAUUCUUUGACUGCCUUUCCACGUGACAAAAUUCUGUUAUAGUGUGAUCUGUGCAGAGGGAGGAAGGGGGUCUGCUGGCAAGAAGCCCGAAAACUGAAGUUUCAUUGGCAACAAGUAAAUAUUCCCCUUCCCACAGAUAAAAUGCUUCUGAGCAAUGCUACAUUGCUUGUCGGAGCAUUGAAGGGUGACCUCUGAGUGUCAGAGUCCUAGGUAAGUUGGAAGUCCAGGGGCUAUGCCAAAUCCACCAAGCUCCUGGGCUUUGGGGCAUUUUAUUAAUAAAGAAGAAACUUUUGAAACAAAAGGGGCCUAGCUGCUCUAUAUGCAUGGAGUGAUCACAGAACCAAGGGAGUCGUAGUUAAAUAAGUCUAAAAGAGCUCCCUCAAUAAGAAUAAAGGCACACCCUGAGAAAGCGUGGUGGAGAGUGUGUCCCCUGAAACCUUGGAGCAUAUUACAAUCAAGGAUCUCAGAGCCACCAACACUCAGGCAGUUUAUUUUGAUCCCUUACUAUGGAUAAGUCACGCUCAGAGUUCAAGAAAUUUAGGGAAAAUCCAGCAAAGCCCUUUCAACAAGUAAAAACGGACAUUGAUUUAAAACCCCCAGGUCCAGCGGGGGUUGGGCCCAGUUAGUGCAGUGAGGGUCCUGACCAAGCAGGACCCCUGUGGAUCAGAGGAUGGAGCAGAGUCAGAGGAUGAGCUUCAACUAGCGUCUAUUCGGCUCAUAAAGUGUGAACACUAAUUCCACAGCAGGAGCAAGGAGUCAAGAGUGCAGCCAGGCAGAACUCGGGGCGGCACCAGGAGAGAACCAGGCCCCCAUGUUGUGUGGAUCCGAGUCCACCCGGCUCCCUGCUUCCUGCAUGGCCCCUGGGAGAGCCCCGGGAAUACAGCCGGUGAUCAUCUGCGUAUCUGGGGCAGUUAAAAGAACUGCCCCUGUUUGAUCAAAAGCAGUGAAACUCACGGCUAAAAUCACUGCUAGGUUAAGGGCUGCGAAUAUGCAAAUCAGGAUGAAACCUGUAUCGUAUCGUUGUUCCUCGUGGCAACGCUAGGACCCGUGUGCGGAAGGUGUGAGGGGCAGUUCUGAGGCCUGAGAAACAGGAUCUGUGGUGGAACGUUCGCCUCCGUUAACUUAGAAGAGUGCCGCAACACUCUCGAUUGUGUUUGUUAAAUUAAUAAGAAGUAAGAAGUGAGCAGUAGUAGGCUGCUCAUCAGUUCCAUUCUACAGACAGGCAACCGAGACCCGGGAAGCUGGUGUUACUUUUCCACAAACAACAGAGCCAGGAUUUGAACCAGAGACCAGGUUCUGCCCCCGCAUACCCACCAGGCAGGGAGGGGCUGACCUAGUCCCCCGCCACAGGAGCGGGGACCCUGUGUCCCACAUCUCCAGUCUCGGUCGUGUGGGGACCUCAGCUGUUGCUGAUGUCACUUGUCACAGCCUGUUUGGGCCAGUUCAGUCUCUGUAUUAACAAGGCGAAGUCAGUCCUAUGGAAUAAGGCGCCUGCCAGGCACCAGAGAAGCGCAGGACACACCUGUGUGGAACCAAGUCCUGCCGACCACCAACACCUCACAGAAACCUACUCUGGUAUUCUGUGGGCUCCCUGCAGAUUCCCACUGCAUCAAGAAGCAGGGUCCAGCUGGCUCUCCUCGAGCGCCAGAGCUGUGAGCUCCACGCCCCGCUCAGCCCACUAGGAAUGCGUGUCCAGCCUCGGCCAGUGGCCAGCAGCCUCCUGUUAUUCCACCGCGGUCACUGCCCUGUCACCAGGCAGGCGAAUGAUUCGGAGCAGGAGUGGCAGUAUGUGAGGUGGGCACCCUGACGGACAGCAGGCCCCAGAGGAGGAGUCACGGCCUGGCAAGGACAUGCCCAGGGGCAGGUGUCCUUGAAGACCUGAGAGGUUCCUUAGCCAGAGAAUUUUAAUGAAGAUGCUAAUGCUACAUCAGAUAUCCGAUGUGAUUUUUGUGUGAGGUUAUUCUACUGAAUUGGUUUGUGGAAAUGUUAACGACUAAGGUUUUAACGGGACCAGCAGUAACUAUUUAGUGGUACCAGGGCUGCAAAUGUACAUGAGUUUUCCGCGAAGAAAAAUGUAGGCAACCACCAGUUUCUGUUUGAAAAUAAUGGAGUCAGUGCCUGGUGCUCACCAGCUCUACCGUGGGACUCACCUGGAAGACUGAGCUGUGGGCCUUCGCAGACCAAAGCCUGGACACAUUCAGAUGCACAGCUUCUAGCUGUGCAAUAAAUGAACUCAGUAAGAAAAUACAACCCCAGCAGAGAACUAUGGACAGACAUACUCAUGGAGACAGGGCUGGGGCCGGCCACAGAAGGCCAGCUUUCAUCCAACGAGAUCCAAGACGAAGGGAAAAGGGUUCUGUUUCUCCUAAGGAGAACUAGAAGAUAUCCAUGACGGAAGGAAGGUUCCAGAGGUAUGUAUCUGCCAUCUCCAAAGUCAAGGAGCCUCAGAACUGUAGCCUCUGUAGCUCUGGAGUAAAAUAGGUCAGUGACCAGCUGCUAUCGAAAUCUGCAUUUCAACCCACCGAAGAAGUGGCUGUUUCACAAUCAGAACCUGCUGAAAACGGAACGAGUUGCUUGAGGAGGAGAAUACCUGCAGCAUCUGCUCCAUGUCCUUCUGUGGGAUGCCUCCUUCCUGUCCCCAGCAACUUCUCCAUCCUUGACUGAAUCCGCCUUCUUUCCAGUCACCUGGGAAGGCCCGCCGGUCCUCCUGCACAUCACACCACGGCUCACCCUCACACAUGGCAACCCGUGUGCUCUGGAGAGUACCAAGAGUGAACUCCAGGGCAGGAAUCACAGUGAAAUCUCCAGCGCUUCACCGUAUGGGCAGGAAAACUGCAGCUCCUGGAGGUGGUACGAAGUGCCCAGGGCAGCAGGAGCCUCCCAGUGGGUCAGCCUGACUCCCCGUCUUCAGGUGCGGAUGGCAGCCAACCCGCCCUGACCUCACCCUGGACCAUUCCUCUCGCUGAGGCCCCGGCUUGCUGAGGCCGACUGGUUUCUUGGAAUGUGACAGGAAGAAAUACACAGGCUUUUCUUCACCAAAGAGUCUCGGUGACUCCUUCUGGUGUAGAGGUCUUGACAGAGGCCCUGAUUCAACAAGGAAGUGAGUUCUGCAAAAUAAAGCAAUGCGAGUCCCAAGGAGAUGGGAUUUUCCUUCUCAGCUACCACCUAAAUUGCAUAUUCCAUUUUUUAUUUAUUAAAAAGUUAGUGCAGAUUUGAGCAAAAACUAUUUUCUCAAUUCUGAAACAGAACAAAUCUGGGAUGUCAGAAAUCUCAAACCAGAUCUGUGCCAUGUAUUUGUCUCUCAUUCUGAGUUCUUAAUCAGUGUUAAAUUACUACAGAUGGCAUGGAUAUUGUCAUCCUGUAAACACGAGUUCACCCAGAGACGAGUCAGCCCACAGCCCAUCUGGAGACAGGCAGCAGCCACCACGCGCCAAGUGUGUGUUAGUCUCCUGUGCCCUGCUAAAGCCCACGGCCAUCCUGGAGGUAGACGCUGUUCUCCCGGGUCUUUGAGAGACAAGGGCACCUGAUCGUGUACUUUACAAACCGUGGGGCCAGGGCUUGAGUGCAGAGCUUGGGAGCUCUUUCUUCUCUUUGCAUCUCUUCCCAAAGAAAGCCCCAGAGGUCACCAACAGACUGUGGGGAGUUUGCCGAAGGGGAGCGUGUCUACCUUCAGAAAGGAGACCAAGGAGGAUAGGACAUUAGGAGUGGAGAAGAAUGUCCAAGUGUCCAUCAAUCCAAGCAGAGAAAACAUGCCCCAGGCAUGGAGGAGACAAGUGGGGAGAGGUGUCCAAGUCCAUCAGCAAAACAGGCUGAGCCAGACCUCACCUUGAAGGGGGCCACUGCCCACAUCACCAGACCUGUUCCUCACUGGGGUCCUCUGUAGGAGGUGGCCAGGACCAACAGGGCAAUGGUUUGAAGUAGGAGCUGUGGGUAUCUGUCAGCUGUGGGCCCACAGCCAAGGCACACAGCUCUCCUGGGAACCGGCAGCCCAAGCCUCACUGCCACCCGGCUGUCACCGUGCACCUCGGCUGUCACUGCGCACCUUGUGGGCAAGGCGCUUAGAGGCCUCAGAACUAUGUUUUUAAAAUGCAAAUUAUUUUCUAGAGAUUGCAAACUUCAGAGUUCUAAAACCAGUAAGAGCAAGCCGACUUCUCCCACCAACUCUAUUCAGAUUCAUGGAUUCAAAGUUGGAGUUCACGUUUUCUUUCUUAUUUUCUUUUUUCCUUACUUUGCACUCUCUUCCUUAUUUCUUCUUCCUUUUCUUCCUCAGUUUUAAAUGACUUUUUAAGUAGACUCUGUGUGGAGGUUAUGAAGGAGCUUGAAGAAGUCAGUUACCCACGUGGAGGAACUGGGGAGACGGAACAUGUGUCCCUACAGUGACUCUAGUAGCCAUGCGGUAGGUCUCCUGCCUCUUCAAGAUGUGUCACCUUCUCUCAAAUCCAAUCAUCUCUCCACUUCUACUUUGUUUUGAUUUUUUUCAAGUUUCCUGCCUUCCGAAGUCUUCCAUUUUUCUAAAGCCAUUGUUUAUCACCUUUGACCAUUCUCAUCUUCAUUUCUCAAUGAUCACUUCCAUUAUUUCAAGUUCUUUUCCAAGCUCUGUAACCACAUUUCUGAAUCUAUUUAAUUCAGUUUAAUCUCUGCUAACCUAAGUCAGAAUAGUUGUUGCCUCUGAUAAGAGGUCGGCACUCAUGGAACAUUCUAGGUCUUGAUCUUGAUGAGGUGAGGUUCAGGGUGGACAUUUGCCGUCACUUAGUGAGCUAUGUCCUUAGGGGUUGGCUGUUUCACCACAUGUAUAUAAAUUGUACCUUAAUAAAGUACUGCUGGGGGUGGGGCAAGAAUCGUUCAAGCAUGACCCUGGCAGUUCGAUCCCCAGCACAGUCAUCUGCUUCUGCUAAAUAUUUUAUUUUUCCAUAAAAGGUAGGGACCUAAAUAUACUGGAUGAGGCUCCUGUGGAGAUUAACCGAAGCUCUAGUCUCUGUAGCAUCAAGGUAGGGCUCCUUCAGGGACUUCCCGAUCUCCGGCAAGGGAAGUCCAGUGCCCCUUUGAACCACUGUAAGUGGUUCCUCUUUAAUCGCACAAGCCCACGGGUUUAAUGAAAAGUGCCCAAGUUCAGGACAGGCCUUUCCACGCGUAUAUUCUGCCUCCUUGUCUGGAGAAUAGUCCCCUCCCAAAAGGUUGAGGAGACAUUCUUGGAAUCUAUGUUCGGUGGCUUUUAGCACCAAGCCCAGCUAGCUGAGCUCAACUACUACAGAAAUUCUAGCUGCAGUCCUGCAUGUAACCUAGGGGUCCAAGGUCCGUGAUGCUCACUCUCCCCUGACCCCUGGAUCAGUGACCCUCCACUCUAGAGAAGCUGCAGUACACACUUGGGUACAGAUCGGUAAUGAGAAAACCAGAGUUGGAGAUGAAGUGUGAUUCUCUGGGGUGGGGCCCUUGCAAGCUGCAGGCCUUCUACAGCAGAGAAAGCCCCCUUUAGUGUUAGCAGCCGAUCACAGCAGGGUGUCACCUCCGAGGAUCCCAGAGUCACAGGCCACAAAGCUGGAUUCCUCGGCACUACCCCUGAGUGAUGUGCUGCAGCCCUAACUGGUAGGCCAGACUCUCCCGUGUUGGAACAGAGGUAGGGACUCACCACAAACCUCUUUCAGGGUUCUCUGCUUGCAAAUCAGAAGGAUGGAAUUCACAGGACAAUAAAGUCAAGAGUGACAGAAGUAGGAUUUAUUCAAGUGUGGAGAACAGAAAAAACUAUGGCAAUAGCAAGAGAGGAUCGCGACAGGGAUUAUCACCUGCGGCUGCUGGUCUCAGGGUUUAUACAGCCCUUGGGUCAACACUAUUGGUCCAAAGUUAUAAUAAGAGUUGGGAAAAAUACUGAUGCUCUUGGUACAAAGUUCUGCUAAUCAGCGUUUGGAAAAGUACCAGCCCUGAGCUGACCUUCCAGGCAGGUCUGCCCCACUUCCAUGGUCCUACCCCUGUGGGGGGCGGGAGGUGGAGGUUGUUGGAUGGUGGAUGCUUGGGGGUUCUAAGCUGCAGUGCUAUGCAGAGUGGGCAUCUGCACUGGGCCUGAGCCAGGCUGCCCGGGCCCUGGCUCUCCUAGGCCCUGGCCCUCUGCACCUCAGGCCCGUGCUGGCAUGGCGGGCUCCACAUAUCCUAGGCCAGUGCCAACCCCAAGGACUCCAGCCUAGGCUGUUGCUCCACAGCUCCAGGGCAAGGACCUGGUUCACUGAUGUUGGGGUGACCAGCUAGUCCUGCUAUGCCCAAGACUUUCCCAGUUUUAGCAUUAAACGUGGCACAUCGCAGGAACACUCAGUCCCAGGCAAACCAAGAUUGUAUGUUGGUCCUCUUCUCCAGAAUCCUUAGGGAACUGGGUCUCCCCUGCUAAGCUAAAUUUUCUUAUUAGCCAUAGAAUCUUAAAAUGAUUACUGAUCUUUUUCUCUGAUGUAGAAGUAACACAAACUUGUACAAAAUUAUAAAGAAAAAAAAUCACCAACAAUACCUCCCACCUUGCUGGGUAAAUAUGCGGUGCCAUGAUUUUCCACCGAGCACUGCGUCAUGAAAACCUUUCUCACGAUGAGACCUACCUCCCAAGGUGUGUUAGUAUCUGCCUGGGAGCCUCUGUGAACCAAUGCACCAUAAUUUUAACUGUUCCUCUUUGGCUGGACUUUGGUUCACUCCCCCUGACACUAUCUCUUCCUGCUUUUAAUGAAUGCUGUGAUUAACAUCCUCGGGCACAAAUCUUCUCUGUAGCACUUCGGGCAUUUUUUUUUUUAACCGCUAUCUUCUGUCUACUUGCUUCUCCUUUCUUUGGGUCCUGAGGAGUUUGCUCUGAUGCAGGGAAGUCCUGUGAACGCCAGGACCCUUGGUCAGGGUACUCCCACCUGCCCUCAGGUCACAGACACACUGAGAAUUCAGCUGAGGCUUGGUAGUGGUCCUAGUCUGAGCUCAAGGCGAGCACUCCGCAGUGUCUAGGGUAGGAUCUUCAUCCUGUGAGCUCAGGCAGACCUGAGAUGGGGGAGCAGUUGUGAAUGGGAGGAGUAGCGAAGGACCAAGCAGGAAGGAAGCUGGGAUCCCAACCUGUGCUUCAACCUCAGCAGCUUCACAUUAAGCUACUUUUCAUGGGUAUUAUCUCUAGUCCUCUUAAGAACCUUGCAAAGGGUAUUCUCAGUGUUAAUUGGGGGGAAAAUAAAAGGUCCAGAGAGGGCAGGUGUCUGCUUCAUCCACUAAGUGAAACUUCUGGAUCCAAGGCCGGUUUUCCUGCUGCUCUGGAUGGACGGCAGCCUGUGCCCAGCUGCUGGAAGAGGAGGUGGAGGGUUCUGUGCUCUAGAUCCCAAUUCCAGAUCUGGGCAUUCAGUACACUGGGGAGUAAGGGGAAAAGGAUCAAGUGAUGAAGUGGGAGCUAUAAAAAGUCCUAGAAAGUUACAAUCGUCCCUUGCAUCUUGGAGCACUGUCCAGUUGGUGGACAGAGCCACCCAAGAAAGCAUCUUAGAGAAAUGAGCCAGAACACUGUGUUUCAGUUUGGGGAACUUGGCCUUAGGGUCAUUCAGGGGUCCAGGGCUGUUGAGGAGAAAUACCCUGCAGGAUGGACUGGGGAAACACUGGGGCAGAGUGGGGCUGGCCUUAUAAGGAGUGGGAAGAGCAGGAGUCAUGUCCCUGUUGAAUUCCAAAAACUGACCACACCUGAGCAUCCCAGGCAGAAGGCAAGGCCCAGGGCAGCCUGCAGUGGUGACCCUCUAGGCAGUGGACCUGCCCAUGCGCAGAGGCCAGCCUCACGCUGGGGCUGUGGGAGAGUCAUCCGACCCCAAAGAAGGCCCUGGCAUGAGCUGGGCCAGACGCAGGACCUCGCCAGCUGGAGAGCCUUCAGGAGGCGUCUGUGACAGUCCAGGCCUGAGGGUAAGGGUGACGCGGAGGACAAUGUGGUGGGGGAGAGCCCUGAUGUCUGCCCUGAGGCACCACAUAGCCAGGGUCUGGGAAGUCAGCCGGGGUGCCCAGGAAUCAUGGCUACUCAUCUGAACCCGGGUCUUGGAGCCAGGCUUAGCUCCCCAGCCAGUGAGUGAGGUGACAGGAGGCCAGGGCAGGAACCUGAGGGUGAGGGGUCGGUCAAGGUGUGGACUCUGCGGGUCUGCUCAGGGCUGACCUGUGCACGGCGGUCACCACGGCUGAGCCACUCCUACUGGGUCUGUGGUCACCUUUCGUCCUGUUAGCCCCAUGUCCCAGGCCAACUCCCUUCUCUGUUGAUAUUCUUCAAAUCACUCGAGGAAGGUGCUUCUUGCCAAAACGUCAAACACCAUUUCCCGAAGUAAAAAAGUACGAGUGCCCUUCACCUUCCUACACAUAUAAUUAAAAAAAAAUCAAUUUGGUGCAUAUCUUUCCAUGUAUGUUUCUAUGUAUUUUAAUAAAAAUAUGAUAAGU